Molecule: long non-coding RNA, 309 nt
Filed under: Elaeis guineensis (African oil palm)
Lineage: Eukaryota; Viridiplantae; Streptophyta; Magnoliopsida; Arecales; Arecaceae
Description: long non-coding RNA (EGUI_LNC065158)
Source: RNAcentral
UGGGCCAACCUAGGUUAGUUUCAGAACUUCUUGUCAUUUUUCUGUUCUUUCUUCUUUGUAUUCUGUUCAUUGAGCUUCCUCGAGAGCUUGUUUGCUAUUUUUCUCAAUUUUUUUCGAGAUUUUUGUGGCUUCCAUUUGAUCCAAAAUAUCUUCUGAUAUCUUCUCUUCUAGCGGUUCUAGGAGUUCGUCAGCCCCAAUUCUCCAAAGUCCUUGUACCGUAGACGAACCCGUAGUUAGGAUCGAACCUCGUCUGGUCUUUGCAUCGGACACCAUCCCCAACUCUUUGACUCCGAAUGAACUCUCACUGAU